Long non-coding RNA from Prionailurus viverrinus (fishing cat), 1164 nucleotides. RefSeq lists it as uncharacterized. The record is from RefSeq and is a predicted model, not a curated record. Lineage: Eukaryota; Metazoa; Chordata; Mammalia; Carnivora; Felidae. The transcript is spliced from 3 exons.
UGCUGGAUCUGAGAGGUUGGAGCUCUGGAGCAAUACCCUUAUUCCGCUGUUGCCUUAGGUCUUUACACGGGGAACAGGGCGGACCUAGUUCGAAAAGUGCAUAAACCUCGGACGGUGGCGCAGACUUGAGCUCAGCAACCGCUAGAGAAGGAAAGAUGCUGGAUGAGAACCAGGCAAUGCCAGCCAAUUGGUCCGAUUUCACAGUCUGCGCACACCAGAAACUUGAUGUUGCCCACGUCCUUGGUGAAGCCCACGUUCUCAAAGAUGAACAUGUCAUCAACCAGCCAGUGCUCCUGGAGAAGCUCGCCGUCAGGAUUGCUGCCAUCAGCCAGAGCUGGUUUCUUUCUCAUGGAGGGAAGGAAAAGCUGCAGUGGAAAAGAACACAAAGAAUGCAAGAGCUGACUGGCCAGUCACGUCAUCACCCCCAUCCCACUCACACAUUACACUGCUCCCUAGCACUUUCUCGGAAUGAAAACAAAAUGAGGAGCCCGAUCAUUGAUGGAUGAGGAUGCUGGGCGGCUCCUCUGCUGCCUCUGGUCCAUGCCCUGAUUCUUACGAGACGUUAAAGAGGACUUGAGCGGUCUGUCCCACUGGAAAUCUGAUUCGUUGGAGAAACUGCGUUCCACCCACUACCUUGGUAAAGCGUGUAGGUUACGAGAGUCAUCUGUCACAUCCCCUACACUAAAGUCGGUUCUGGAGCUCUUUUUGGGGCGGCGAGGAGCCCAUCAGAAAGGACACCGGUGAGAGCGCUGUGAUGCGGGCCAGGUACACCGGGCGCCAUGGGGCCAGUCUGCAGGGUGGAGCUGGAAGGGCUGCCCGUGUCCCGAGGCGCCGGGCCCUAGGAAGCCGGCGCCUUGCCGCAGCCCUGCACCGCACGCGGAGGAGCAGCGUCCAGCGCGCCCCGCGCCCGCGGCGACCUGGUGACCGGCCGGCCCAGACCUAGGGCGAGGCUGGGGCUGGGGGCCGGGGGCCGGGGGCCGGGGGCCGGGUCCCGGCAGCGCUCCCGCCGCCCAACUCCGGCGGGGGCAGCCUCAGGCGGAGCCCGGACGCGACGAGGGGCGCGGCCUCCGGAAACGCGCGCGGGGUCUGGGACACGAGCCACCUCGGCCCCCUGGGAAAGCGUGCGGGGGUGAACCGCCUCCAACCUGCCUCCCUACCUGUCGA